UGCAGUCGAGCGGUAACAGAUCCAGCUUGCUGGAUGCUGACGAGCGGCGGACGGGUGAGUAAUGCAUAGGAAUCUGCCCGAUAGUGGGGGAUAACCUGGGGAAACCCAGGCUAAUACCGCAUACGUCCUACGGGAGAAAGGGGGCUCCGGCUCCCGCUAUGGGAUGAGCCUAUGUCGGAUUAGCUAGUUGGUGAGGUAACGGCUCACCAAGGCCACGAUCCGUAGCUGGUCUGAGAGGAUGAUCAGCCACAUCGGGACUGAGACACGGCCCGAACUCCUACGGGAGGCAGCAGUGGGGAAUAUUGGACAAUGGGGGAAACCCUGAUCCAGCCAUGCCGCGUGUGUGAAGAAGGCCCUCGGGUUGUAAAGCACUUUCAGCGAGGAAGAACGCCUAGCGGUUAAUACCCGCUAGGAAAGACAUCACUCGCAGAAGAAGCACCGGCUAACUCCGUGCCAGCAGCCGCGGUAAUACGGAGGGUGCAAGCGUUAAUCGGAAUUACUGGGCGUAAAGCGCGCGUAGGUGGCUUGAUAAGCCGGUUGUGAAAGCCCCGGGCUCAACCUGGGAACGGCAUCCGGAACUGUCAAGCUAGAGUGCAGGAGAGGAAGGUAGAAUUCCCGGUGUAGCGGUGAAAUGCGUAGAGAUCGGGAGGAAUACCAGUGGCGAAGGCGGCCUUCUGGACUGACACUGACACUGAGGUGCGAAAGCGUGGGUAGCAAACAGGAUUAGAUACCCUGGUAGUCCACGCCGUAAACGAUGUCGACCAGCCGUUGGGUGCCUAGCGCACUUUGUGGCGAAGUUAACGCGAUAAGUCGACCGCCUGGGGAGUACGGCCGCAAGGUUAAAACUCAAAUGAAUUGACGGGGGCCCGCACAAGCGGGUGGGAGCAUGUGGUUUAAUUCGAUGC
RNAcentral lists this ribosomal RNA (905 nucleotides) under Vreelandella aquamarina. Its description in RNAcentral is "bacterial SSU rRNA". It matches the Rfam family "Bacterial small subunit ribosomal RNA", at positions 56 to 957 of the family's 1533-position model. Lineage: Bacteria; Pseudomonadati; Pseudomonadota; Gammaproteobacteria; Oceanospirillales; Halomonadaceae. The record is from RNAcentral.